CGCUGGCGGCAGGCUUAAUACAUGCAAGUCGAACGCGUGUAGCAAUACACGAGUGGCGCACGGGUGAGUAACGCGUGGAUAUCUGCCUUUGGUUCGGAAUAACUCCGGGAAACUGGAGCUAAUACCGGAUGGUUCCUACGGGAUAAAGAUUUAUCGCCAAAAGAUGAGUCCGCGUACGAUUAGCUAGUUGGUGAGGUAAUGGCUCACCAAGGCGACGAUCGUUAGCUGGUCUGAGAGGACGAUCAGCCACACUGGGACUGAGACACGGCCCAGACUCCUACGGGAGGCAGCAGUGGGGAAUAUUGGACAAUGGGGGCAACCCUCGAUCCAGCCAUGCGCGUGAGUGAUGAAGGCCUUCGGGUUGUAAAGCUCUUUGGCGGGGACGAUGAUGACGGUACCCGCAGAAUAAGCCCGGCUAACUUCGUG
RNAcentral lists this ribosomal RNA (426 nucleotides) under uncultured bacterium. RNAcentral describes it as "bacterial SSU rRNA". It matches the Rfam family "Bacterial small subunit ribosomal RNA", at positions 34 to 507 of the family's 1533-position model. The record is from RNAcentral.